AGGGUGUAAACGCUGCGGGCUUGGUGUUGGGGUCCUUUGAGGGCGCCCAGUGCCGGAGAGAAGUUGUUAAGCCUGCUGCUUGGGGAGUACGUCCGCAAGGAUGAAACUUAAAGGAAUUGGCGGGGGAGCACCGCAACGGGAGGAGCGUGCGGUUUAAUUGGACUCAACGCCGGAAAUCUUACCGGGACCGACAGCAACAUGAAGGCCAAGCUGAAGACUUUGCCGGAUUAGCUGAGAGGUGGUGCAUGGCGUCAGUGACU
This 260-nucleotide ribosomal RNA is filed under the name uncultured archaeon. RNAcentral describes it as "partial 16S ribosomal RNA". It matches the Rfam family "Archaeal small subunit ribosomal RNA", at positions 748 to 1008 of the family's 1478-position model. The record is from RNAcentral.